Heterocephalus glaber (naked mole-rat) is the source of this 107-nucleotide small nuclear RNA. The record is from Ensembl. NCBI's taxonomy places the organism in Eukaryota, Metazoa, Chordata, Mammalia, Rodentia, Bathyergidae.
GUACUCUCUUUGGCAGCACAUAGACUAAAAUUGUAACAAUACAUAGAAGAUUAGCACAGGCCCUGAACAAGGAUAACAUGCAAUUGCAUGGAGCAGUCCACAUUUAA